GGCCUAUUAGCUCAGUGGUUAGAGCAGCAUUCUUAUAAAAUGUGUGUGCCGGGUUCAAUUCUCGGAUAGGUCA
Molecule: transfer RNA, 73 nt
Filed under: Bacteriophage sp.
Description: tRNA-Ile
Rfam family: tRNA
About the family: Transfer RNA (tRNA) molecules are approximately 80 nucleotides in length.
Source: RNAcentral